Molecule: ribosomal RNA, 440 nt
Filed under: uncultured bacterium
Lineage: Bacteria
Description: partial 16S ribosomal RNA
Rfam family: Bacterial small subunit ribosomal RNA
Source: RNAcentral
ACUACGGGUGGCAGCAGUGGGGGAUAUUGCACAAUGGGGGAAACCCUGAUGCAGCGACGCCGCGUGUGGGAAGACGGUCCUCUGGAUUGUAAACCACUGUCCCCAGGGACGAAGAUGACGGUACCUGGGGAGGAAGCUCCGGCUAACUACGUGCCAGCAGUCGCGGUAAUACGUAGGGAGCGAGCGGUGUCCGGAAUUACUGGGGGUAAAGGGAGCGGAGGCGGGACUGCAAGUUGGGUGUCAAAUCUACCGGCUCAACCGGUAGCCGCACUCAAAACUGCAGUUCUUGAGUGAAGUAGAGGCAGACGGAAUUCCUAGUGUAGCGGUGAAAUGCGUAGAUAUUAGGAGGAACACCAGUGGCGAAGGCGGCCUGCUGGGCUUUUACUGACGCUGAGGCUCGAAAGUGUGGGGAGCAAACAGGAUUAGAUACCCUGGUAGUC